RNAcentral lists this ribosomal RNA (447 nucleotides) under uncultured bacterium. RNAcentral describes it as "bacterial SSU rRNA". It matches the Rfam family "Bacterial small subunit ribosomal RNA", at positions 29 to 521 of the family's 1533-position model. The record is from RNAcentral.
AACGAACGCUGGCGGCAGGCCUAACACAUGCAAGUCGAACGCCGUAGCAAUACGGAGUGGCAGACGGGUGAGUAACACGUGGGAACGUACCUUUCGGUUCGGAAUAACUCAGGGAAACUUGAGCUAAUACCGGAUACGUGCGAGAGCAGAAAGAUUUAUCGCCGAAAGAUCGGCCCGCGUCCGAUUAGCUAGUUGGUGAGGUAAUGGCUCACCAAGGCGACGAUCGGUAGCUGGUCUGAGAGGAUGAUCAGCCACACUGGGACUGAGACACGGCCCAGACUCCUACGGGAGGCAGCAGUGGGGAAUAUUGGACAAUGGGCGCAAGCCUGAUCCAGCCAUGCCGCGUGAGUGAUGAAGGCCCUAGGGUUGUAAAGCUCUUUUGUCCGGGAAGAUAAUGACUGUACCGGAAGAAUAAGCCCCGGCUAACUUCGUGCCAGCAGCCGCGGU